RNAcentral lists this ribosomal RNA (111 nucleotides) under Klebsiella pneumoniae. Its description in RNAcentral is "partial 23S ribosomal RNA". The stretch from base 1 to 99 matches the Rfam family "Bacterial large subunit ribosomal RNA", at positions 2827 to 2925 of the family's 2925-position model. The record is from RNAcentral. Lineage: Bacteria; Pseudomonadati; Pseudomonadota; Gammaproteobacteria; Enterobacterales; Enterobacteriaceae.
CUGAAGGAACGUUAAAGACGAUGACGUUGAUAGGCCGGGUGUGUAAGCGCAGCGAUGCGUUGAGCUAACCGGUACUAAUGAACCGUGAGGCUUAACCUUACAACGCCGAAG